RNAcentral lists this ribosomal RNA (492 nucleotides) under uncultured bacterium. Its description in RNAcentral is "partial 16S ribosomal RNA". It matches the Rfam family "Bacterial small subunit ribosomal RNA", at positions 29 to 507 of the family's 1533-position model. The record is from RNAcentral.
AGUGAACGCUGGCGGUAGGCCUAACACAUGCAAGUCGAACGGCAGCACAGUAAGAGCUUGCUCUUACGGGUGGCGAGUGGCGGACGGGUGAGGAAUACAUCGGAAUCUACUUUUUCGUGGGGGAUAACGUAGGGAAACUUACGCUAAUACCGCAUACGACCUACGGGUGAAAGCAGGGGAUCUUCGGACCUUGCGCGAUUGAAUGAGCCGAUGUCGGAUUAGCUAGUUGGCGGGGUAAAGGCCCACCAAGGCGACGAUCCGUAGCUGGUCUGAGAGGCUGAUCAGCCACAUUGGAACUGAGACACGGUCCAGACUCCUACGGGAGGCAGCAGUGGGGAAUAUUGGACAAUGGGCGCAAGCCUGAUCCAGCCAUACCGCGUGGGUGACGAAGGCCUUCGGGUUGUAAAGCCCUUUUGUUGGGAAAGAAAAGCAGCAGGUUAAUACCCCGCUGUUCUGACGGUACCCAAAGAAUAAGCACCGGCUAACUUCGUG